GGGUUGUGAGGUUAAGCGACUAAGCGUACACGGUGGAUGCCCUGGCAGUCAGAGGCGAUGAAGGACGUGCUAAUCUGCGAUAAGCGUCGGUGAGGUGAUAUGAACCGUUAUAACCGGCGAUUUCCGAAUGGGGAAACCCAGUGUGUUUCGACACACUAUCAUUAACUGAAUCCAUAGGUUAAUGAGGCGAACCGGGGGAACUGAAACAUCUAAGUACCCCGAGGAAAAGAAAUCAACCGAGAUUCCCCCAGUAGCGGCGAGCGAACGGGGAGGAGCCCAGAGCCUGAAUCAGUGUGUGUGUUAGUGGAAGCGUCUGGAAAGGCGUGCGAUACAGGGUGACAGCCCCGUACACAAAAAUGCACAUAUUGUGAGCUCGAUGAGUAGGGCGGGACACGUGGUAUCCUGUCUGAAUAUGGGGGGACCAUCCUCCAAGGCUAAAUACUCCUGACUGACCGAUAGUGAACCAGUACCGUGAGGGAAAGGCGAAAAGAACCCCGGCGAGGGGAGUGAAAAAGAACCUGAAACCGUGUACGUACAAGCAGUGGGAGCCUCUUAAUGGGGUGACUGCGUACCUUUUGUAUAAUGGGUCAGCGACUUAUAUUCUGUAGCAAGGUUAACCGAAUAGGGGAGCCGAAGGGAAACCGAGUCUUAACUGGGCGUUAAGUUGCAGGGUAUAGACCCGAAACCCGGUGAUCUAGCCAUGGGCAGGUUGAAGGUUGGGUAACACUAACUGGAGGACCGAACCGACUAAUGUUGAAAAAUUAGCGGAUGACUUGUGGCUGGGGGUGAAAGGCCAAUCAAACCGGGAGAUAGCUGGUUCUCCCCGAAAGCUAUUUAGGUAGCGCCUCGUGAAUUCAUCUCCGGGGGUAGAGCACUGUUUCGGCAAGGGGGUCAUCCCGACUUACCAACCCGAUGCAAACUGCGAAUACCGGAGAAUGUUAUCACGGGAGACACACGGCGGGUGCUAACGUCCGUCGUGAAGAGGGAAACAACCCAGACCGCCAGCUAAGGUCCCAAAGUCAUGGUUAAGUGGGAAACGAUGUGGGAAGGCCCAGACAGCCAGGAUGUUGGCUUAGAAGCAGCCAUCAUUUAAAGAAAGCGUAAUAGCUCACUGGUCGAGUCGGCCUGCGCGGAAGAUGUAACGGGGCUAAACCAUGCACCGAAGCUGCGGCAGCGACACUAUGUGUUGUUGGGUAGGGGAGCGUUCUGUAAGCCUGUGAAGGUGGCCUGUGAGGGUUGCUGGAGGUAUCAGAAGUGCGAAU
Molecule: ribosomal RNA, 1262 nt
Filed under: Escherichia coli
Lineage: Bacteria; Pseudomonadati; Pseudomonadota; Gammaproteobacteria; Enterobacterales; Enterobacteriaceae
Description: partial 23S ribosomal RNA
Rfam family: Bacterial large subunit ribosomal RNA
Source: RNAcentral